Molecule: long non-coding RNA, 1687 nt
Filed under: Homo sapiens (human)
Lineage: Eukaryota; Metazoa; Chordata; Mammalia; Primates; Hominidae
Description: long non-coding RNA NONHSAT177449.1
Source: RNAcentral
UUCCCCACGGCAACUGUGCAGAGAGGCUUGCAGGUCCAAACCACUGGUAGCAGCCCCUGGUAUAUCCAGGACAUCAGCACAUAGAACCAGUGAAAGGGUCCUCCCUCAUAGUGACGCAUGUCAUAGACUCAGAUUUAUACAAACAAAUGCUGAGCAAACCAUGAAGAGUCUCUGGUAUUUUCAACAAUAUCAUCACAGAGGAACUGUAUUGAUUUCCUUGCACGUUCAGGGUACUGGGAGAGGCAACAGGGAUGGAGGUCCCAUCACAGUGAGUCUCUGAGACCUAGUUUUGGCAGAAGGAAGUACCAGAGGGAGCUGAGCUGUUGAACAUUAUGUGCGAUCAUGUAAUAACUGCAAUCGGAAGGGAAACACUCAGAGUCCUGGAGAAAGAGAAAUUCGCAUUUGUGGACGCCUGCUGGGAGCUAGGCACUUUCGAAUAGUUCCUGUCACCUAACUUAAGUAUCAUUACUCAAGUACUAAUUAACUUAGGUAUUAUGCAGAGAAGUCGAAUAAUUAGAAAAGUGGCAUGACUUAUACAAGGCAACACUUCAGUGGUCCAAGAACCUGCUGCUCCCGGGUCCUCUCAUUUGAAGACACCCACCGCCUAAGGAUGAAGAGAAGCUCCUUCUUGCAGAUCUGAGGCUGAUUUCCCAACUCCCAGGAACACCCUACCCACAGCCUGUUCCCCAGACCCAGGAAUUCUUGACCAAGACUACAAAUGUAGCCCAUUUGACAUCGAAAACAUUGGGACAGGUGUGAGAGUGAGGAAAAUGGGGAGAAAAAAGAACUUUGAAGACAAGGAUUUGAAGUUAGCAUGAAGCAUGGAAAGGAGGAAGGGCAAGCUUUCUGCAGUGAGGACAGUGCCUGCCAGAGAAAACCAGAUCCUGGGGAGGGGUUUCUCCAGAAAGAGAAAGUCAAAGCUGCAGGUAGGCUCUGGAGACAAGGAGCUCGCAUGCAGUGAAGGUGGCGGCCACAUUGAGAAAUCACUCCAGGCUGAAGGACAUGCACCAAAGGCGGGAGGGGUGGCACCAUGGACAGAGCUUCGGAUGGGUGCAGGUGGGGCUGGGGUUUGCAGGAGCAAUGGCUGUAGGGACACUAAGAUUUCACCCUCCAGAAGACAGCAUCUUCCUGUGCCAUGGCUAGAUCACCAGCUACCCACAGACAGCCUGAACUCCAAUUGUCUUCCUGCACAUGUGCCUUUAAAGGUUUUACUGGCAUUAUUGCUUUUUUACUUCUGGAACUUUUCAAAUGUAGAGGAGCCUUUAGAAGGAAGCCUUGAGCAUGAGGACAGACCCCCCUCAUCCAACCACCACCUGACUCUGUGUGAACCUGGAACUGUUAGGAUGUCUGUGCUGUGAUAAAAGGUCAUCUCCCUACAAUGUUAUGAUACAGACCUCAAACCUACAAACAUGAGGAACUUCUGCCUCCAGGUUAACUGCUUACCCACUGUACAAGACACGUUACACACAGUCCAGGAGGCGGAGCUUCUGAGAUAUCUAGAAACAGCUUAGAGGCAAAAUGACAAAAUAAAGCAGCAACAACAAAUAAAACCAAUCUUCUCGCCUGGCAGCAUCUUUCUGCUGUGCUUAAUAGCGAAGGGUGAAUGCUUCAUUUUCUACCAAAACACGCCUUCCACGUGUGGGGAUCUCCAACGGGCGUCUGGAGCUCUUGGCUGGAGAGGCUGCCU